CGGGAAACUGGGGAUAAUACCGCAUACUCCCGAGAGGGCAAAGCAGCAAUGCGCUGUGAGCAGCGUCCGCGGCCGAUUAGCUUGUUGGCGGGGUAAAAGCCCACCAAGGCAACGAUCGGUAGCCGGCCUGAGAGGGCACACGGCCACACUGGCACUGAAAUACGGGCCAGACUCCUACGGGAGGCAGCAGUGGGGAAUCUUGCACAAUGGGGGAAACCCUGAUGCAGCGACGCCGCGUGAGUGAUGAAGCCCUUCGGGGUGUAAAGCUCUUUCGACGGGGACGAUAAUGACGGUACCCGGAGAAGAAGCUGCGGCUAACUACGUGCCAGCCGCCGCGGUAACA
This 343-nucleotide ribosomal RNA is filed under the name uncultured bacterium. RNAcentral describes it as "partial 16S ribosomal RNA". It matches the Rfam family "Bacterial small subunit ribosomal RNA", at positions 150 to 525 of the family's 1533-position model. The record is from RNAcentral.